Molecule: long non-coding RNA, 3099 nt
Organism: Carassius auratus (goldfish)
Lineage: Eukaryota; Metazoa; Chordata; Actinopteri; Cypriniformes; Cyprinidae
Source: Ensembl
AUGCCUCAGCUGAGCGUGGGAAAUGUGUGGAGCUGCUGGGAGCGGAGCAGGACUCGAAGCCGAGGAGAAGGGGAUGGAGCAGUGGAGGACAAACAGAUGAUCAGCCGAGAGCUGGAGGAGAGAGCUGGGCAAGAGUGGACACGGAUGAGACUGCACUGGAGAAACUGGCCGAGAUGGAGUCCGUUUCUGGCUCUGAUGUGCUUGGUUCUUCUGGAGGAGUCUCCUCUGCACCCCUCUGUCAGUCUGCCUGAAGCCACGGGUCGACUGCUCCUCGCUGGGCUGCUGUGUGCUGCCUUGGCCCUCUGUGCUCCAGCUUUCCAGUUCCUGCUCCGUUAUGAACAGAAAGUAAAGCAGCAUCUCCCAUGCAAUGGUGAGGUGAUAGUGAGACAAACUGCUGAAAACCAGCAAUCCAGCAUACAUCCACAGCAGGACGCAGGUCAUCUGGAAACGCAGGUCAGUGCUCUAGCGGAUGGUUUAGCGGUGUCCCUCCUGCAUGAGCCCCUGCCGGACCCCAGCGAGCCACACAUACGAGGUCUCCUCAACAGACUAGAGGCAGUGUCUCGGACUCUCCACAGGAAGAGUUGUGAGGAAGGACCUGAGGAGAAGGAGAAAUGUGCUCUUCAAGAUAGAGUGAACAGUAUAAGCUCUUACCUGAGGGACAGGGUGAGCGGUCUGCGCUCUCUGCUGCAGGUUCAGCGUGAGUGUGACGUGAGUGUGUGUGCGGUUCAGAGCGGGUUACACAAGCGCUGGGCUCUGCUGGAGGAGUUACACACACGAGUGACUCUGAGGCCUGACAGCACACAGGAAGCUCUCGACCCUCACGCAGUCCUCACAGACACUGAGAGCCUGUUCAGUGAGCUCAGUCAGUUCAAAAUCAAAGUCCAACAGUGCCGGACACAGCUGGAAGCCAAUAUAAACCUUUUACAGACACUUCGCAGCAGUCAUCAGCGUCUGAAGGAGACUUUCAGUGCCACCAUCGACUCUGUAUGGACCAAAGAGUUACUACAGUCCAACACUGAUCUGUUUUCUGAGAUCCUUGAGGAUUUCAUGUCUUUGGAACAGCAGACGUCGAAUUUUGUGAUCCACUUGAGAGGCCUGAAGGCUUCUGAGGAGGAAAAGACAAAGUUCUGUGUGAAUCAGUCACGACUGUCUCUUCCCGCUGUCCCUGUGUACGUUGCUGCUCCGGAAGCAUCUCAAUUAAAUUCUGACCCGGAAAGUGACCCGGAGUCGCCAGAAGCCUCACAGAAGACCCGCUCCAGAACAUCGGCCUUCCAUAUGCUCUGUGGGUCGAGGAGGAGGAAGUCAUCGCCGUAGUUUUGACAAAAGAUGGAUGUUUUUACAGGACAUUUUUUAAUGCCCGCCUGCUGAGCAGGUGUAACAACAGUUUGUGCACUUUAUUCACAAUUUAUUAACUGGAAUCGCUAUAUAGUGUCUAUACUGUGACUUGUAAUUUUCAACAUGUGAAAUGUGUAAAUAAGAACUCUUGCAUAAUUAAUACAAUAAUAAUAAUAAUGUAUAACAUUACAUAUAGUAUUGAGGGUUUUUUAUUAACAUUAAUAUUAUAUAAUAGAAUAAUAUAAAAAGUUUGAUGUCGGAAGAUUUAAUUGAAAAUACUGUGAAAACAGUGAUAUUGUGAAAUAUUGCUUUUUAAAAUAAUAUUUAAACAAAUCUGCUGUCCUUUUGAUGGCAAAGCUGAAUUUUCAGCGUCAUUACGUCAGGCUUCAGUGUCACGUGAUCCUCCAGAAAUCAUUCUAAUCUGCUGAUAUUGUGUUCAACAAACACUAUCUUUUACUAUCUUAACCACUAUCUUCUGUCUCUCUCUCAAAAUAAAUAAAUAAAUAAAUAAGAAUCUUACCGACCCCAAACUUUACCACAUAGUAUUUGUCGUCAAUAGUCGAUCAGCUCAUAUGAUGAAAUCCUUCUUGUAUUGUGACUGUGCUGUGACUUGUGAUUUUCUGCUCGUAAACUGUGUAAAUAAGAUAUUUUUUGGAAUCUUAAUCAUCUUAAGCGCACAUUAAACGGACAAUUAACUGAAACAAACAGUAAAUGUGGUAACAGCCACAGAAAGGUAUUUGUGUCAUGCCAUGUUUGAGCACAAGAGGGCGCAAUCCAAUAAAAAAUAAACAGCCAACUCCUUCACGAGAGCUCAAGCCCAGCUGCACGCUUACACGACAAGGUCCUCAACACUAAAGAUAUCAGAGCAUAAUAUCAUACAAACCAUUUUACUUGUUGGCCUACUGGCAUGUACAAACAUCACAUUGCCUUUAAAUUAGGAUAGUUUACAUUGAAAAACAAAUUCAACAGCUGUAAGUCCAGUCUUUGACAUGUUUGUACAUGUUAAGUUGUUAAGUAGAAAGAAACAAUUAGGUUGCUGUGGGCAGUAUUAGCCAAUCGAGCACUUACACCUUUAGUAUUCUGGUUUCAACAUAGGCUAUUUUGUUCCCAUACACAUUUAGGGUGAAAUGCAAACUUCUUAGAGGAACAAAAGCCAUUCUUCACGGUCUGUUCUCCAUAUAUCUAUAUUUCAGCCAGAUACAGAUUUUACAGUGUUUUUUCUUCUUCUUAGCAGUCACUCAUAGCAGUGAGGCCAAACUUUUCCACCAAAUCAACUUUAUAGUGGGAAAAAUCUGCUCGGUUGCUGUAAAGCACAGUCUGAAAGUGUAUUUCAUAAAGAGAUGAACGGUCUUAUGAGAGCAAAGGUGCUCCUUCAUUCUCUACUGGCCUUUGUGGAUUUAGUAGGAAUUUUUAUUUGAUCUGAGCGUCUGUAUUUUUUCAACAUUUCAUUUUGGAGUCUGCUUCUCUCGUAUAUACACUGAAUAAAAUUAUUAUUAUUAGAUACGUGGGCUUUGUGAGGAAAACGCAAGUGGUGCUUGCCUGUAUAAAAAGCUUUUGCCUUUUAUUUUAUAAAUAUUAAUAUUAUAUUAAAGUAGGCUUUUUUUUAACCCGUUACUAUGUGGUUGUCAGUGUGUUUGUAUUUGUUUUUUGUCCCUGGAUACAGUAUGGCUUGAGUCCCUCAUAUGGGAUUUCGUUUUUUAUUUUUUGAUCCAGCUGGCAACAACUGAUCACUUUUUUGUCAUUCCUUCAAAAUGCUGCAGGGUU